Molecule: non-coding RNA, 27 nt
Filed under: Mus musculus (house mouse)
Lineage: Eukaryota; Metazoa; Chordata; Mammalia; Rodentia; Muridae
Source: RNAcentral
UAGCAGAUUCAUUAGGUUCCUCCUUUC